GCGGGCGUAGUUCAGUGGUAGAACACUAGCCUUCCAAGCUGGAUACGUGAGUUCGAUUCUCAUCGCCCGCUCCA
Molecule: transfer RNA, 74 nt
Filed under: Candidatus Omnitrophota bacterium
Lineage: Bacteria; Pseudomonadati; Candidatus Omnitrophota
Description: Candidatus Omnitrophica bacterium (sediment metagenome) tRNA-Gly
Rfam family: tRNA
About the family: Transfer RNA (tRNA) molecules are approximately 80 nucleotides in length. Their secondary structure includes four short double-helical elements and three loops (D, anti-codon, and T loops). Further hydrogen bonds mediate the characteristic L-shaped molecular structure. tRNAs have two regions of fundamental functional importance: the anti-codon, which is responsible for specific mRNA codon recognition, and the 3' end, to which the tRNAs corresponding amino acid is attached (by aminoacyl-tRNA synthetases). tRNAs cope with the degeneracy of the genetic code in two manners: having more than one tRNA (with a specific anti-codon) for a particular amino acid; and 'wobble' base-pairing, i.e. permitting non-standard base-pairing at the 3rd anti-codon position.
Source: RNAcentral